AUUGAACGCUGGCGGCAUGCUUUACACAUGCAAGUCGAACGGCAGCACGGACUUCGGUCUGGUGGCGAGUGGCGAACGGGUGAGUAACACAUCGGAACGUGCCCAGUUGUGGGGGAUAACUACUCGAAAGAGUAGCUAAUACCGCAUGAGAACUGAGGUUGAAAGCAGGGGAUCGUAAGACCUUGCGCAACUGGAGCGGCCGAUGGCAGAUUAGGUAGUUGGUGGGAUAAAAGCUUACCAAGCCGACGAUCUGUAGCUGGUCUGAGAGGACGACCAGCCACACUGGGACUGGGACACGGCCCAGACGCCUACGGGAGGCAGCAGUGGGGAGUUUUGGACAAUGGGCGAAAGCCUGAUCCAGCAAUGCCGCGUGCAGGAUGAAGGCCUUCGGGUUGUAAACUGCUUUUGUACGGAACGAAAAGCUUCGGGCUAAUACCCUGGAGUCAUGACGGUACCGUAAGAAUAAGCACCGGCUAACUACGUGCCAGCCGCCGCAGUAA
This 500-nucleotide ribosomal RNA is filed under the name uncultured bacterium. RNAcentral's name for it is "partial 16S ribosomal RNA". It matches the Rfam family "Bacterial small subunit ribosomal RNA", at positions 30 to 523 of the family's 1533-position model. The record is from RNAcentral.